CAGCCGCCGCGGUAAUACGAAGGGUGCAAGCGUUACUCGGAAUUACUGGGCGUAAAGCGUGCGUAGGUGGUGGUUUAAGUCCGUUGUGAAAGCCCUGGGCUCAACCUGGGAAUUGCAGUGGAUACUGGGUCACUAGAGUGUGGUAGAGGAUAGUGGAAUUUCCGGUGUAGCAGUGAAAUGCGUAGAGAUCGGAAGGAACAUCUGUGGCGAAGGCGACUAUCUGGGCCAACACUGACACUGAGGCACGAAAGCGUGGGGAGCAAACAGGAUUAGAUACCCCAGUAGUCCCUGUCUCUUAUAU
RNAcentral lists this ribosomal RNA (301 nucleotides) under uncultured bacterium. RNAcentral's name for it is "partial 16S ribosomal RNA". It matches the Rfam family "Bacterial small subunit ribosomal RNA", at positions 509 to 809 of the family's 1533-position model. The record is from RNAcentral.